Molecule: ribosomal RNA, 508 nt
Filed under: uncultured bacterium
Lineage: Bacteria
Description: partial 16S ribosomal RNA
Rfam family: Bacterial small subunit ribosomal RNA
Source: RNAcentral
GACGAACGCUGGCGGCGUGCCUAAUACAUGCAAGUCGAACGCUUCUUUCCUCCCGAGUGCUUGCACUCAAUUGGAAAGAGGAGUGGCGGACGGGUGAGUAACACGUGGGUAACCUACCCAUCAGAGGGGGAUAACACUUGGAAACAGGUGCUAAUACCGCAUAACAGUUUAUGCCGCAUGGCAUAAGAGUGAAAGGCGCUUUCGGGUGUCGCUGAUGGAUGGACCCGCGGUGCAUUAGCUAGUUGGUGAGGUAACGGCUCACCAAGGCCACGAUGCAUAGCCGACCUGAGAGGGUGAUCGGCCACACUGGGACUGAGACACGGCCCAGACUCCUACGGGAGGCAGCAGUAGGGAAUCUUCGGCAAUGGACGAAAGUCUGACCGUGCAACGCCGCGUGAGUGAAGAAGGUUUUCGGAUCGUAAAACUCUGUUGUUAGAGAAGAACAAGGACGUUAGUAACUGAACGUCCCCUGACGGUAUCUAACCAGAAAGCCACGGCUAACUACGUG